CUUUGUUAUAUACCCUUUGUUGGCAAUGACACAGGUCAAACGUUUUCUGUAAGUCUUCACAAGGUUUUCACACACUGUUGCUGGUAUUUUGGCCCAUUCCUCCAUGCAGAUCUCCUCUAGAGCAGUGAUGUUUUGGGACUGUCGCUGGGCAACACGGACUUUCAACUCCCUCCAAAGAUUUUCUAUGGGGUUGAGAUCUGGAGACUGGCUAGGCCACUCCAGGAUCUUGAAAUGCUUCUUACGAAGCCACUCCUUCAUUGCCCGGGCGGUGUGUUUGGGAUCAUUGUCAUGCUGAAAGACCCAGCCACAUUUCAUCUUCAAUGCCCUUGCUGAUGGAAGGUUUUCACUCAAAAUCUGACCAUACAUGGCCCCAUUCAUUCUUUCCUUUACACGGAUCAGUCGUCCUGGUCCCUUUGCAGAAAAACAGCCCCAAAGCAUGAUGUUUCCACCACCAUGCUUCACAGUAGGUAUGGUGUUCUUUGGAUGCAACUCAGCAUUCUUUGUCCUCCAAACACGACGAGUUGAGUUUUUACCAAAAAGUUAUAUUUUGGUUUCAUCUGACCAUAUGACAUUCUCCCAAUCCUCUUCUGGAUCAUCCAAAUGCUCUCUAGCAAACUUCAGAAGGGUCUGGACAUGUACUGGCUUAAGCAGGGGGACACGUCUGGCACUGCAGGAUUUGAGUCCCUGGCGGCGUAGUGUGUUACUGAUGGUAUGCUUUGUUACUUUGGUCCCAGCUCUCUGCAGGUCAUUCACUAGGUCCCCCCGUGUGGUUCUGGGACUUUUGCUCACCGUUCUUGUGAUCAUUUUGACCCCACGGGGUGAGAUAUUGCGUGGAGCCCCAGAUCGAGGGAGAUUAUCAGCGGUCUUGUAUGUCUUCCAUUUCCUAAUAAUUGCUCCCACAGUUGAUUUCUUCAAACCAAGCUGCUUACCUAUUGCAGAUUCAAUCUUCUCAGCCUGGUGCAGGUCUACAAUUUUGUUUCUGGUGUCCUUUGACAGCUUUGGUCUUGGCCAUAGUGGAGUUUGGAGUGUGACUGUUUGAGGUUGUGGACAGGUGUCUUUUAUACUGAUAACAAGUUCAAACAGGUGCCAUUAAUACAGGUAACGAGUGGAGGACAGAGGAGCCUCUUAAAGAAGAAGUUACAGGUUUGUGAGAGCCAGAAAUCUUGCUUGUUUGUAGGUGACCAAAUACUUAUUUUCCACCAUAAUUUGCAAAUAAAUUCAUAAAAAAUCCUACAAUGUGAUUUUCUGGAUUUCUUUUCUUAUUUUGUCUGUCAUAGUUGACGUGUACCUAUGAUGAAAAUUACAGGCCUCUCUCAUCUUUUUAAGUGGGAGAACUUGCACAAUUGGUGGCUGACUAAAUACUUUUUUGCCCCACUGUAUAUGCAUACAUACACAACCCAUUCACUCUUGCAGGAAAAAUGUUUAUCUAUACUGAACAAAAAUAUAAAUGCAACAAUUUCAAUGAUUUUACUCAGUUAAAGUUCAUAUAAGGAAAUGUGUCAAUUAAAAUAAAUUCAUUACGCCCUAAUCUAUGGAUUUCACAUGACUGGCCAGGGGCGCAAUCAUGGCUGGGCCCGGGAGGGCAUAGGCCCACCCACUUGGGAGCCAAGCCCACCCACUGGGGAGCCAGUCCCAGCCAAUCAGAAAGUGUUUUUCCCCACAGAAGGGCUUUAUUACAGACAGAUAUACUCCUCAGUUUCAUCAGCUGUCUGGGUGGCUGGUCUCAGAUGACCCCGCAGGUGAAGAAGCCGGAUGUAGAGGUCCUGGAUUGGUGUGGUUACAUGUGGUCUGCGGUUGUGAGGCCCGUUGGCCCAAAUUCUCUAAAGUGACAUUGGAGGCAGCUUAUGGCAGAGAAAUUAACAUUAAAUUCUCUGGCAACAGCUCUGGUGGACAUUCCUGCAGUCAGCAUGCCAAUUGCAAGCUCCCUCAAAACUUGACACAUCUGUGGCAUUGUGUUGUGUGACAAAACUGCACAUUUUAGUGGCCUUUCAUUGUCCCCAGCAUCUGUGUAAUGAUCAUGCUGUUUAAUCAGCUUCUUGAUAUGCCACACCUGUCAGGUGGAUGGAUUAUCUUGGCAAAGGAGAAAUGCUCACUAACAGGGAUGUAAACAAAUCAACAAGGGAGAAAAGGGCCAAUAGUGAUCCACAUGAUGGCAACCAUUCCCAGAGGAAUUCAGACAAACAGAAGAGCAAAGAUGACGAGGAGAGUCAGAGGAGAUCGAGACAGGACCAAAUGAAAAGGAAAGACACUCUUGUGAAGGAACUGGAGGAAUUGCUAAAGCAGGAUGGGUCUACCUUUUUGAUUCCGGUCAUCGGGUUCUACUGUCAGAGGUGUGAGGAGUUCUUCGGAGACCUGACCACUGCUGAGGGCCAUGCUGCAACCCACCGGCGGAAUGAGCCUAGCAUGCAGCAGCAUGGAGACAGACGACCUGGAGAGGACAGAAGACACCCUAGCCAUUACAUCGGGCACCCCCUGGCUCCAGAGCGGAGGGACCAGAGAGACCCAAGAGAUCAGAGGUAUCGCAAACUAGACGAGGGCCCAAAGGGUUACAGGAACGACAGGGAGAAGAUCUACGUGAAAGAGGAACGACCUGGAAGCCCCAGGAUAAAGAUGACGGUGGUCCGCGGGCACACCCCACCAGGUCUGCAGAAGGCCAGGGGGAGAGAGGAGGGGAGGGUGGAUAAGGGCUCUUGUGCUGCUUCCUCUGGCCCUGCCAGUGGGAAAUAUGAUAGGGUCAAACUGGAGGAGGUGGAGACCAAAGGAAAGCCCAACGUGGAAGUAUGUGACAAAGAUAAAGGAGAAAGCAGUUCUAGCAGUGAUGACGAGAAAGACAAAUCUCCUAAAGGCAACAAAAAGAAAAAGAAGAAGGAGAAGAAGAAGAAGAAGAAGAAGAAGCAAAGGGGUUAGAAGUAAUAGCUGCUGUACUGCAUGUCCUGGUUUGAUUGUACUGUAUCUCUGGAGGACCUGGCCUUGGGUCAUUGUUUGGCAUCAUUGCAGCUGUUUUCAGAAGUUGGUGCUUUUAACAUUAGAAAGAAGCAGUGUUCCUCUGAUUUGUUCUCUCCUUUUGGGGUUGUCUUUUUUUUCCAACAAACUGUGUUCCUCUGUUGUAGUGGAUAACAGGACAUUUUCAUUGAAUGCUGUUGGAGGACAGGACGUUCCAGGGUGCAUAUGCAGCAUUUAUGAUGUCCAGAAUCAUUUUGCUGCCAGCUACUGAUCCUAUUGUUCAGACCUUUAGUUACUGUAGAUGUGCAUUAAAUAACCCUCCUUAUAUUGGGCCAUGUUUGUGUAUAUUUCACCCAGUACAACCUUGAUUUAGUGCUUCAAGUACUAUCAAAUGUACUUUUGCCAUUUAAAGGUCAACUGCCAUUUGAAGCGUGUGCUGUCUUUCUUCCUAAUGUUAAACCGUUGAGAUGGAAUUAUUCUGUAAUGAAGAAAUUUUUAUACAUUGUCCUCUUAUUUAGGUCUCAGCAAUUGAUGGCGCAAGGCUAUUUGCAAGCGCACAUGUGCUUGCCAAAGUCAUUGGAUCCUAUCAGGAUAGGAACAGUUGACAUGUUUUUGUAAGGUGAUCACUUUUUUUUUUUUGUCUGCUGUUGCUCACUCUCACUUCCUCUUUCUCACACACUAGGCAUUUCCAUUGAUCCAGGUUUAUUCGACAAAAGCAAUGUCAGGGGAAAAAAAUAUUCUGCCGUGUAAUAGAAACGGCAGAUAUAGGAGACAUUUUAAAGCUCGACAACAUUUUUAUCCAUUCGAUAGGGUUCUAUUUUUCUUUUGUUGAACUUUCUUUACUGCAACUAAUGAGGG
RNAcentral lists this long non-coding RNA (3801 nucleotides) under Salmo salar (Atlantic salmon). RNAcentral describes it as "lncRNA (ENSSSAG00000055355.2)". The record is from RNAcentral. Lineage: Eukaryota; Metazoa; Chordata; Actinopteri; Salmoniformes; Salmonidae.